Molecule: long non-coding RNA, 206 nt
Filed under: Nicotiana benthamiana
Lineage: Eukaryota; Viridiplantae; Streptophyta; Magnoliopsida; Solanales; Solanaceae
Description: long non-coding RNA (NBEN_LNC000218)
Source: RNAcentral
GAAGAGGCAGAAGAGGGAGACCAAGUGUACUUGUACAGACCAUUCUCCUCUUUACCAAGAUCUAGAAGCCUCUUCAGAAAAAGGUCCUGUAACAGGUAAAGAAGACAUGAAGUUGGUGUGAACAGAACCAAACAAUUUAAUUAUUUCAUCAGCUUGUGAACAGAAAUCAAAUUAUGUUUGAAAGAAGGGACAAGGAGCACAUUGUG